AUGCGCGAGUUUGACCCCCUCAGGUGUAUCAAGUUCAAUAGUCAGGCGUUGGGAGUUGAAUACCUUGGUGCAGCCGAGGAAGAGAUCAUGGGAUGGGAGCAUUGGUCAGGUAAUGUCAAGGUUUUCCAAGUGGAUUUUCUGAUACUGUGCAUCGGAAGGCAUUGUGGGACACCAAUACCAGAAUUUCCAGCAAAUAAAGGACCUGACUUGUUCAUCAAGGGAAAAACAUUGCACUCUAUGGACUGCUCUUGCAUGGAUAAUGUGGCUGAAUUUGUUAAAAGGGAAGAGUGUGAGGAUACUUGGGUCUGGAAAAUCAGCAUUUGA
RNAcentral lists this ribosomal RNA (324 nucleotides) under Triticum aestivum (bread wheat). Its description in RNAcentral is "partial small subunit ribosomal RNA". Lineage: Eukaryota; Viridiplantae; Streptophyta; Magnoliopsida; Poales; Poaceae. The record is from RNAcentral.